AUGGCCAUUGAGAAGGACAUGUUUGAUUUCUUCCGUCAUGACUGGGAGACUGCGUUUAGCCGGCGCAGCGGCCACUUCCUUAACAAGACGACACUGAGUUCCAUGCAGUUUGCAAACUUGGCACCUGGGCGCAUCCCAUGCGGUGCUGACAUAGAAUCUGUCGUGCAGAUCUUCUCCUUCAAGCUCAUGGAAGUGAAAGGCGGCUUCAAAUUUCCAUCGUCCGUGUAUGGGGUGGUCGCUGCUCGUGAUACCGCGGACUACAACCGUCACCUUCUCUUCUUUUGUGAUAGGAACAACUCCCAAAAACUCACUCAAGAUGAUCCUUAUCUGCGCCUGAUCGGCCUGUCUCGUGCGGUCUAUGAGGUCCAGCUUAUGGUGAAAGGCAGCGUGAAGUCUCGGGACAGGCCGUUGAUCACCGAUACAUACCGUUAA
RNAcentral lists this ribosomal RNA (432 nucleotides) under Triticum aestivum (bread wheat). RNAcentral describes it as "partial small subunit ribosomal RNA". The record is from RNAcentral. Lineage: Eukaryota; Viridiplantae; Streptophyta; Magnoliopsida; Poales; Poaceae.